CACGUAGGGCGCGAGCGUUGUCCGGAAUUAUUGGGCGUAAAGAGCUCGUAGGCGGCCUGUUGCGUCCGCUGUGAAAGCCCGGGGCUUAACCCCGGGUCGGCAGUGGAUACGGGCAGGCUGGAGGCAGGCAGGGGAGAACGGAAUUCCCGGUGUAGCGGUGAAAUGCGCAGAUAUCAGGAGGAACACCUGCGGUGUAGACGGCUUUCUGGACCAUAGCUGACGCCGAGACACGAAAGCGUGGGUAGCAAACAGG
This 253-nucleotide ribosomal RNA is filed under the name uncultured bacterium. Its description in RNAcentral is "partial 16S ribosomal RNA". It matches the Rfam family "Bacterial small subunit ribosomal RNA", at positions 524 to 776 of the family's 1533-position model. The record is from RNAcentral.